This 428-nucleotide ribosomal RNA is filed under the name uncultured prokaryote. RNAcentral describes it as "bacterial SSU rRNA". It matches the Rfam family "Bacterial small subunit ribosomal RNA", at positions 355 to 776 of the family's 1533-position model. The record is from RNAcentral. RNAcentral also lists the same sequence under 1 other name.
UGGGGAAUCUUGCGCAAUGGGCGAAAGCCUGACGCAGCGACGCCGCGUGAGUGAUGAAGGCCUUCGGGUUGUAAAGCUCUGUGGAGGGGGACGAAUAAGGCAUGGCUAACAUCCAUGUUGAUGACGGUACCUCUUUAGCAAGCACCGGCUAACUCUGUGCCAGCAGCCGCGGUAAGACAGAGGGUGCAAACGUUGUUCGGAAUUACUGGGCGUAAAGCGCGUGUAGGCUGCUCUGCAAGUCGGAUGUGAAAGCCCUGGGCUCAACCGAGGAAGUGCAUUCGAAACUGCGGAGCUCGAGUCCUGGAGAGGAUAGCGGAAUUCUCGGUGUAGAGGUGAAAUUCGUAGAUAUCGGGAGGAACACCGGUGGCGAAGGCGGCUAUCUGGACAGUGACUGACGCUGAGACGCGAAAGCGUGGGGAGCAAACAGG